Molecule: ribosomal RNA, 387 nt
Filed under: uncultured microorganism
Description: bacterial SSU rRNA
Rfam family: Archaeal small subunit ribosomal RNA
Source: RNAcentral
GUGCAGCAGUCGAGAAACUUUACAAUGUGCGAAAGCACGAUAAGGGAACUCUGAGUGCCUCCUAAGGAGGCUGUUCAGGUGUCUAAAAAGCACCUGAAGGAAGGGCUGGGUAAGACCGGUGCCAGCCGCCGCGGUAACACCGGCAGCCCAAGUGGUAGCCACGUUUAUUGGGUCUAAAGCGUCCGUAGCCGGCUGGGUAAGUUCCUUGGGAAAUUUGGCUGCUUAACAGUCAAGCUUUCAGGGAAUACUGCCCGGCUUGGGACCGGGGAGAGGUCAGAGGUACUCCAGGGGUAGGGGUGAAAUCCAUCAAUCCUUGGGGGACCACCGGUAGCGAAGGCGUCUGACCAGACCGGGUCCGACGGUGAGGGACGAAGGCUAGGGGGCGCG